Molecule: ribosomal RNA, 232 nt
Filed under: uncultured bacterium
Lineage: Bacteria
Description: partial 16S ribosomal RNA
Rfam family: Bacterial small subunit ribosomal RNA
Source: RNAcentral
CGGACGGGUGAGUAAUGUCUGGGAAACUGCCCGAUGGAGGGGGAUAACUACUGGAAACGGUAGCUAAUACCGCAUAAUGUCUACGGACCAAAGCGGGGGACCUCCGGGCCUCGCGCCAUCAGAUGAACCCAUAUGGGAUUAGCUAGUAGGUGAGGUAACGGCUCACCUAGGCGACGAUCCCUAGCUGGUCUGAGAGGAUGACCAGCCACACUGGAACUGAGACACGGUCCAG